Molecule: ribosomal RNA, 203 nt
Filed under: uncultured bacterium
Lineage: Bacteria
Description: partial 16S ribosomal RNA
Rfam family: Bacterial small subunit ribosomal RNA
Source: RNAcentral
UACGGAGGGUGCGAGCGUUAAUCGGAAUUACUGGGCGUAAAGCGCACGCAGGCGGUUUGUUAAGCAAGAUGUGAAAGCCCCGGGCUCAACCUGGGAACUGCAUUUUGAACUGGCGGACUAGAGUCUUGGAGAGGGGGUGGAAUUCCAGGUGGUAGCGGUGAAAUGCGUAGGAGAAUCUGGAGGAACAUCAGUGGCGAAGGCGG